Molecule: ribosomal RNA, 424 nt
Filed under: uncultured bacterium
Lineage: Bacteria
Description: partial 16S ribosomal RNA
Rfam family: Bacterial small subunit ribosomal RNA
Source: RNAcentral
GAAUAUUGGACAAUGGGCGAAAGCCUGAUCCAGCCAUGCCGCGUGUGUGAAGAAGGUCUUCGGAUUGUAAAGCACUUUAAGGUGGGAGGAAGGGCAGUAAGCGAAUACCUUGCUGUUUUGCCGUUACCGCCCGAAUAAGCACCGGCUAACUCUGUGCCAGCAGCCGCGGUAGUACAGAGGGUGCAAGCGUUAAUCGUAAUUCCUGGGCGUAAAGCGCGCGUAGGUGGUUCGUUAAGGUGGAUGUGAAAUCCGCGGGCUCCACCUGGGAACUGCAUCCAAAACUGGCGAGCUAGAGUAGGGCAGAGGGUGGUGGAAUUUCCUGUGUAGCGGUGAAAUGCGUAGAUAUAGGAAGGAACACCAGUGGCGAAGGCGACCACCUGGGCUCAUACUGACACUGAGGUGCGAAAGCGUGGGGAGCAAACAG